Molecule: long non-coding RNA, 214 nt
Organism: Lontra canadensis (Northern American river otter)
Lineage: Eukaryota; Metazoa; Chordata; Mammalia; Carnivora; Mustelidae
Exons: 3
Source: RefSeq, a predicted model, not a curated record
CUGAUCUUGGUCUAGAACACCUGCAUUCGAAUUGAAGUUUUGUCCAGAACAUGGAAGUUUCCGUCAGAACAUGAAAGAAGAUGUUUGGAAGGAGUUCUGAGUUUUCAUUUAUCCAGUGACUGGCCAAGAUUGCAAAGCUGAAGUUGCCUUGUGCUCAUUUGCAGUCAAUCCCACUCCUGUCUUCAGACUGAGAAAACCAUAGUUCAACUUUCUG